CCUACGGGAGGCAGCAGUGAGGAAUCUUGGUCAAUGGCCGUAAGGCUGAACCAGCCACGUCGCGUGAAGGAAGAAGGAUCUAUGGUUUUUAAACUUCUUUUAUAGGGGAAUAAAGGUAUCCACGUGUGGAUAUUUGCAUGUACCCUAUGAAUAAGCAUCGGCUAACUCCGUGCCAGCAGCCUCGGUAAUACGGAGGAUGCGAGCGUUAUCCGGAUUUAUUGGGUUUAAAGGGUGCGUAGGUUGUUUUUUAAGUCAGCGGUGAAAGUUUGUGGCUCAACCAUAAAAUUGCCGUUGAAACUGGAAGACUUGAGUGUGUUUGAGGUAGGCGGAAUGCGUGGUGUAGCGGUGAAAUGCAUAGAUAUCACGCAGAACUCCGAUUGCGAAGGCAGCUUACUAAGCCAUAACUGACACUGAAGCACGAAAGUGUGGGUAUCAAACAGGAUUAGAUACCCGGGUAGUC
This 460-nucleotide ribosomal RNA is filed under the name uncultured bacterium. RNAcentral's name for it is "partial 16S ribosomal RNA". It matches the Rfam family "Bacterial small subunit ribosomal RNA", at positions 338 to 795 of the family's 1533-position model. The record is from RNAcentral.